GACAGAGGGGGCAAGCGUUCUCGGAAUUACUGGGCGUAAAGGGCGCGUAGGCGGAAUGGCAAGUCGGUCGUGAAAUCCUUCGGCUCAACCGAAGAACGUCGAUCGAAACUGCCGUUCUUGAGGAUUGCAGAGGAGACUGGAAUUCCCGGUGUAGCGGUGAAAUGUGUAGAGAUCGGGAGGAACACCGGUGGCGAAGGCGGGUCUCUGGGCAAUUCCUGACGCUGAGGCGCGAAAGCGUGGGGAGCAAACGGG
RNAcentral lists this ribosomal RNA (252 nucleotides) under uncultured bacterium. RNAcentral describes it as "partial 16S ribosomal RNA". It matches the Rfam family "Bacterial small subunit ribosomal RNA", at positions 524 to 776 of the family's 1533-position model. The record is from RNAcentral.